This 484-nucleotide ribosomal RNA is filed under the name uncultured bacterium. RNAcentral's name for it is "partial 16S ribosomal RNA". It matches the Rfam family "Bacterial small subunit ribosomal RNA", at positions 30 to 507 of the family's 1533-position model. The record is from RNAcentral.
AUUGAACGCUGGCGGCAGGCCUAACACAUGCAAGUCGAGCGGAUGAAGGGAGCUUGCUCCUGGAUUCAGCGGCGGACGGGUGAGUAAUGCCUAGGAAUCUGCCUGGUAGUGGGGGAUAACGUCCGGAAACGGGCGCUAAUACCGCAUACGUCCUGAGGGAGAAAGUGGGGGAUCUUCGGACCUCACGCUAUCAGAUGAGCCUAGGUCGGAUUAGCUAGUUGGUGGGGUAAAGGCCUACCAAGGCGACGAUCCGUAACUGGUCUGAGAGGAUGAUCAGUCACACUGGAACUGAGACACGGUCCAGACUUCUACGGGAGGCAGCAGUGGGGAAUAUUGGACAAUGGGCGAAAGCCUGAUCCAGCCAUGCCGCGUGUGUGAAGAAGGUCUUCGGAUUGUAAAGCACUUUAAGUUGGGAGGAAGGGCAGCAAGUUAAUACCUUGCUGUUUUGACGUUACCAACAGAAUAAGCACCGGCUAACUUCGUG